UUUUAUUUACAGACAGUAUUUCCUGAAGGAACUGCUGCUGUAAGUCUAGCAGGCUCUCCUAGUUUGUCUAGUCAGUCACAUUCUGUGAGCCCUGAAGGAAGCGCAACAUACCUAACUCAGGAUAACAGUUCACUCUUCCAUCUCGUCCAAAGAUCACCCAUUGAAAUGCUUGGUCAGAGGUCAUCCCACCCCACUCGGAGUGGAUCAAAGGUGACAGGGGCUGCCAAAGGAAAGUUUGAGCCUUGUCAGGUUGAUACUUUGUUGCUAAGCAGGAUGACUGGUGUCUGUGUUGUCAUGUACAUUUUAUUCCAGCUGGAAUGAGAAAUGUUAGUUUAGCUCCGCUAUGCAGUUGUUUGGGUGGGAUCUUGCAAAAUUGAGAGGCUUUUGCUGAUGGUUCCAUAAAAUGGGAAAAUAAGAUUUCUUUUGUAAUGUGGCUUGUCCCUCACAUCUAUGGUACUGCAAGCAGGGGCAUCAAAAGCUACUCUGCUAUUCCAGAAGCUACAGAGAAAGCAAACCCAGAGAGGGGUACCACAGGAUAGAACACAUGCUGUGAAACCCUGUAAGUCUACCGUUCAUGCUGGCCCACAGACUGGUGAGGUACCAACUUUGCUGCAGGUCCCUGAAAAAGAAACAGUUAGAUGAAGUUUCCCUCUCAUCUUGUUUUAUGUUCUUGAAAACUCGACCAUAUGGAGGUACACUCUCUUGGUCUCUACCAUCUGGACGUUGGGAAUUUUCAACUUCAUGUCAUGGCUAGCUUUAAGAAUUCUCUUAAGCAGUGAAAAUCCUUUGCAAGCUCAAAGACGAUUACCUUAGAGUACUUCUGGGAAGAGCGAUGGUGACUGCCCCAUACUGUGACUCACUAACUAAGGCUUUGUCCUUUCAUGAUGGUGACCAGUGUUCAAUUCCUAACUGAGGGAAGGAAUCCUGAUUUAAUACUUGUAGGACUUUUGCCAUUGAUUAUUUUUCCUGUCAUAGAUACUUCUGAUUUCUUGUCUUGAAUUUUCUUUUCUCUGAGCUUGGGGCAACUCUAGAUCUUGUAAAAACUGCUUGCCAUCUCUUUAAAGACAUCUCAUGCAUCCAUGGUUGUUAUAACCUUAGCUAGAGCUUAUUGGUUUCAUGUGGGAGGAGGUUACUUGUGGUCAAAAAUUCAAAAGCCUGAAAUACCAGCUGUUUGUCCUGGCUAACGUCUGCUAAUAGAAUAUUUAAAAAGAUUUUCUUCUGAGAGGUCAGUAGUUAAAAAUUAACUGAAUUAAUGUUUAUAUUUUGGAUAUAUGUGUACAGAUAUUAUUUUAAAUCCCCUGCUCUUCUUUUGUAAAAACCUCUCAGACAACUGAAUUCUGUUUCCCAUUUACUACUGUAUGUUUUUCCUUGCUCUUGUAUCCAAUCUUUUUGACUUUUGUAGACAGGGGAACAAGAAAUUACUUUGCAUCAUGAGAAAAAUUAACCUUGAUGUAUAAUAGUUAGAUAAGAAAUACACUUUUAAAAAUGACUGAUGGCAGUUGCUUACAGUGGCUAUUUAUUAAUCCAGGAUGGCAUUCCUUUCUUUGAGUGUGUACAUAAGAAAAGCAUGCUCUUGGAUACUGACAAAGUAUAGAAUAGGAUAUGAGCUAAUUAAAGAGUGGCCUAAUUGGUGUUGGGUUGCCCAGCAGCCUAGAGGAAAUGUCCUUUCAAUAAGAUACACUGUGAAAGUAUUGCACUAUCUUCUCCCAUAGCAUUUCCCUUUUGGGGGGCCGCAGCGUUUGCUGUAAAAAUUAGAUCCUUAUCUUGUGGAUCUGUUUUGCCUUCCAGCUAUACCUGAUAAUUAGGCCCUCCUGACCCUUUUCCCCAAAAGACUCCAUCCUAAAGCCAAUAACCUAAUCAAGAAACUUAAGUCUUUAAGGAAAUCUCCAUGUGUAAGAGUGUCUGGUUUUCCUGGCCAUCUUGACUGAACUUUUACCCAUACCAUUUUUCCUUGGUGUAAAUAAAAUAUGAAUUUUCUAUUUUGCUUCACUUAAGAAUUAUCCCUUUAAAGAUGCAAAUUUGGAAUUGCAUGCCUGACAAUUGUUAGGGCCUGGAACAGGUAAUCAAGAGACUGAUGGUCUAACAUAAGAAAGAGAAACUUAAAAAACAGUCAAAUAACAAAUCUUAUCACUCUACCAAAUCUGCUUCUGUCUGUGUACUUGAAUGUGUCAUGUGUGUGAUGUUUCACUAUCAAAAUAUAUGAAAAAGCUCUAAUUAAUUGGCUUAAAAAUAAUAAGUGCUUAAAUAAAAUAUUUUGUCAGGAAAAUAAAAGCCUAAGUGCCCUUUUGUUCACGUCACUCUAAUAAUCUUUGAAAAAUAAAGACAGUUUUAAAGAAUUUUGGUAAAACUAAAAUGUCUCCAAAAUGUACACAUUUUGUCUGAAUGAGGCAGGUCAGGUACCAUUUUUUUGCUAGAUGCUCUAAGGUUAUAACACUGCUCUGUGACUUUUAAUUAUUAUUCAACUUGGCUGCUUUGGAGCCAUUAGAUUCUAGGUAAUGCCUGGGGACAUGUGGAGUAGCCAUGCUCCCUACCAGUGAUGGAAAGAGUCUGACACUAUCUGCAGUUCUAUCCUGUGUCAUAGGCUCUACACAUGAUACACAAUUAAAAUUGCUUCCAUUUAAAAUAAGAGUUAUGUGUUAUUAAUUAAAAGGUAUAGGAACAUGUUGUUUUCAAAAGUAAUUUUGUCUUAUUUAGAGAAAUUAAGGAUUGUUUCAAAUAUUUAAAAAAUAUAGGAUAAAACUGAAGGUUUAAGCAAGUUGUAAAAGGUUUGGGAAAGAGUAAUCUUGUUUAAAAAAAUUCUACGUGGAGCAAGUUGGAUAAAAUUAAAAAUAUAUUAUUUAGUUUUUCCAUAAAUUGAACAUCAAAAUAAAAGCACACUGAUGCAGGGCCAGAAUCUGAGCUCAUGGGUCUCAAUAACAGGGUUUUCUUAGAGCAUUAAUCUGCUCUUUAACAGAAAAUUGUAAAGUGUUAUAAGAGAUUUAUGGAAAUAUUACCAUAUAGUCAAACUGAUUAAGAUUGGAUCCAUUUGUUUACAAAGUUUUAUUAGGAAUUGAGUUAAUAAUAUACUAAUGCAAAGGUGAAAUUUGUCUUUUUCUUUUUAACAAGAUUUUCAUAUAAUAUUAAAAGAUAAAGAAAGAUUUUUGUUUGCUUUUUGAAUAAAUUACAAGAAAAAGAGGGGAGAGAGAAGACAGAUGAGACAAAUUCAGUUGGUCUCCUGCUGUCUUUAUCGGGUCUUGUUUUUUGGAAAGCUUUGUCUGUCCUUUAUCUAUGAGUAUAGGUUUUUGCUUUAAAAACCUUUGAAAAGUUUUAAAGUAUCAUUUUGGCUAAUAAUUUAACUUAUAUUGACUUUGGA
Molecule: long non-coding RNA, 3352 nt
Organism: Papio anubis (olive baboon)
Lineage: Eukaryota; Metazoa; Chordata; Mammalia; Primates; Cercopithecidae
Source: Ensembl